UUUGUGAGAUGAUGAGAAUUCUAUUCCCUUUCUCUGAGUCCGGCGGAAUUCAUCUUCGCCGCUCUGAUGAACAUUCUUAUUUGCACGUCAGUCUGAUCCCAAA
Molecule: small nucleolar RNA, 103 nt
Organism: Andrographis paniculata
Lineage: Eukaryota; Viridiplantae; Streptophyta; Magnoliopsida; Lamiales; Acanthaceae
Product: small nucleolar RNA Z122
Exons: 1
Source: RefSeq, a predicted model, not a curated record